GAUGAAGAACGCAGCGAAAUGCGAUAAGUAGUGUGAAUUGCAGAAUUCAGUGAAUCAUCGAAUCUUUGAACGCACAUUGCGCCCUUUGGUAUUCCUUAGGGCAUGCCUGUUCGAGCGUCAUUUAAACCUUCAAGCUCAGCUUGGUGUUGGGUGACUGUCCGCCGCCUCCGGGCGCGUGGACUCGCCUCAAAAUUAUUGGCGGCCGGUACAUUGGCUUCGAGCGCAGCAGAAACGCGAACUCGGGCCCGUCGUAUUGGCUCCCAGAAGCUAUCUUCACAAUUUGACCUCGGAUCAGGUAGGGAUACCCGCUGAACUUAAGCAUAUCAAUAAGCGGAGGA
This 338-nucleotide unclassified non-coding RNA is filed under the name soil metagenome. Its description in RNAcentral is "partial contains 5.8S ribosomal RNA, internal transcribed spacer 2, and large subunit ribosomal RNA". The stretch from base 1 to 120 matches the Rfam family "5.8S ribosomal RNA", at positions 35 to 154 of the family's 154-position model. The record is from RNAcentral.